CGAUAGUGAACCAGUACUGUGAAGGAAAGGCGAAAAGAACCCCGGUGAGGGGAGUGAAAUAGAACCUGAAACCUUGUACGUACAAGCAGUGGGAGCCUGAAAGGGUGACUGCGUACCUUUUGUAUAAUGGGUCAGCGACUUAUAUUUUGUAGCGAGGUUAACCGAAUAGGGGAGCCGAAGGGAAACCGAGUCUUAACUGGGCGAAUAGUUGCAAGGUAUAGACCCGAAACCCGGUGAUCUAGCCAUGGGCAGGUUGAAGGUUGGGUAACACUAACUGGAGGACCGAACCGACUAAUGUUGAAAAAUUAGCGGAUGACUUGUGGCUGGGGGUGAAAGGCCAAUCAAACCGGGAGAUAGCUGGUUCUCCCCGAAAUCUAUUUAGGUAGAGCCUUGAGCGGACACCUUUGGGGGUAGAGCACUGUUUCGGCUAGGGGUCCAUCCCGGAUUACCAACCCGAUGCAAACUACGAAUACCAAAGAGUGAUACUCAGGAGACACACGGCGGGUGCUAACGUCCGUCGUGGAGAGGGAAACAACCCAGACCGCCAGCUAAGGUCCCAAAGUCUAUAUUAAGUGGGAAACGAAGUGGGAAGGCUUAGACAGCUAGGAUGUUGGCUUAGAAGCAGCCAUCAUUUAAAGAAAGCGUAAUAGCUCACUAGUCGAGUCGGCCUGCGCGGAAGAUGUAACGGGGCUGAAAUAUAGCACCGAAGCUGCGGCAUCAGAUGUAAGUCUGUUGGGUAGGGGAGCGUUGUGUAAGCGGAUGAAGGUUAAUCGAGAGGUUAGCUGGACGUAUCACAAGUGCGAAUGCUGACAUAAGUAACGAUAAAACGAGUGAAAAACUCGUUCGCCGGAAGACCAAGGGUUCCUGUCCAACGUUAAUCGGGGCAGGGUGAGUCGGCCCCUAAGGCGAGGCUGAAAAGCGUAGUCGAUGGGAAACAGGUUAAUAUUCCUGUACUUGGUAAAGCUGCGAUGUGGGGACGGAGUAGGUUAGGUUAGCGUGCUGUUGGAUAUGCACGUUUAAGUUGGUAGGUGGGAAGUUUAGGCAAAUCCGGACUUCCUUAACACUGAGAGAUGAUGACGAGGCUCUACGGAGCUGAAGUAACUGAUACCACACUUCCAGGAAAAGCCACUAAGCGACAGGCUUUACUAAACCGUACUGAAAACCGACACAGGUGGUCAGGUAGAGAAUACUCAGGCGCUUGAGAGAACUCGGGUGAAGGAACUAGGCAAAAUAGCACCGUAACUUCGGGAGAAGGUGCGCCGGCGUAGAUUGUAAGGGCUAGCCCCUGAAGGUUGAACCGGUCGAAGAUACCAGCUGGCUGCAACUGUUUAUUAAAAACACAGCACUCUGCAAACACGAAAGUGGACGUAUAGGGUGUGAUGCCUGCCCGGUGCUGGAAGGUUAAUUGAUGGUGUAAUCGAAAGAGAAGCACCUGAUCGAAGCCCCAGUAAACGGCGGCCGUAACUAUAACGGUCCUAAGGUAGCGAAAUUCCUUGUCGGGUAAGUUCCGACCUGCACGAAUGGCAUAAUGAUGGCCAGGCUGUCUCCACCCGAGACUCAGUGAAAUUGAAAUCGCCGUGAAGAUGCGGUGUACCCGCGGCUAGACGGAAAGACCCCGUGAACCUUUACUAUAGCUUGACACUGAACAUUGAAUUUUGAUGUGUAGGAUAGGUGGGAGACUAAGAAGUAGGAACGCCAGUUUCUAUGGAGUCGUCCUUGAAAUACCACCCUUUAACGUUUGAUGUUCUAACGAAGAUUACGAAACGUGGUCUCGGACAGUGUCUGGUGGGUAGUUUGACUGGGGCGGUCUCCUCCCAAAGCGUAACGGAGGAGCACGAAGGUUUGCUAAUCACGGU
Molecule: ribosomal RNA, 1856 nt
Filed under: Haemophilus influenzae
Lineage: Bacteria; Pseudomonadati; Pseudomonadota; Gammaproteobacteria; Pasteurellales; Pasteurellaceae
Description: bacterial LSU rRNA
Rfam family: Bacterial large subunit ribosomal RNA
Source: RNAcentral